GAACUCUCUGCAAGUCAUUUGUUACAUUUGUUUCUCCUGAUGUACUGAGUACUGAAUAAAAGGUGUGGUAAGCUGGGGACUUUGUCUUUGCCACCCAGAGCAGCACUGAUCAGACCCAAAGUGCAGCUUCUUCUCAGUCUCAUUUUUCUACCUUUCCUGUAAUUUGCCGUGUACUGCCAUGGCUCGCAGGAGACUAGGAUUUAACUGCAGAGGUUCUAGUAACUUCCCCUUCCCCUGUUCCCUACAAGGUGAUACUUGUUUCCAGGAGUAAAUUCGGGAGCAAUGCUUCCCUUUCAAUUUCGUUGAAGAGUUUAAACAGUAGUGUCAGUAGUUCCUCUCUAAAUGUCUUGUAGAAUUCAGCGGUGAAGUCAUCAUGAACUGGGCUUUUCUUAGUUGAGCCGAGGACACCAGGAAAGACGAAGAAGGUUUUGAAAAUGGUCACCUGAUUCCACAGUACCUCCAAGAGCCUCCAAGAAGUGGUAAAGGACCAGUGACCCUAACCAAAGGACCUGUUCCCUGGAAACCAAAAUUGGAACCAUUUCUAACAGCAUCAAAAUUACUGAGGAAGUACCCACUGAAUUUAAAGAUCUGAUGAAACUUUCAGGAUUGCCUGCUUAGUUCUUAUGGUACAAAGUUAAAAACAGAAGAUCAAGGGCAGGAAGCCCAGAAUCCGUGAUGGCUCAGGAUGGACUUCUAGAGAAUAUCAAGAACCAAUAUGGUGUUGGGCUUCUUCCCUUCUGUUCCCAUACUUAUGGAUGAUCCCAGUUAAGGACAGCAUACUUACCCCAGAAAUAUUUGCCAUGCUCACCAAAAAGCUAUAAAUGGAAGAAGAUCAAUACUCAUUUGAAUUAUCAAUAAUGAAGGUUAACGUUAAACACUGCCUUUUUGAACACACUGUUCUCUUUGCAUGGUUACAUUUUCACCACUGUUAAGGGAGUUUUGGGCUCUUACUUGAAGUUGUCCCACUACAACAUCAUAGCUUGGGUGUACUAAUAACAACUAUCUACUAUUCUAAUGUAGCUGAAGCCCAAAGUAACUAGAGUGCUAUGAAUUUCAGCAACAUUGAGGAUCACUGAAGUUAUUCCUUUUCAAACUUUCAAUUGGAAUUUAUGAAGAUAAUGUUAGUUCAUUAAUGUAAAGUACUUAAUACAUGAUUGCACUCAAACUAGUCACAUAAUAAUUGGUAACUGUUACUUUUUAUUAUUUUCAAAUUCUUCCACUGCCACGUUUUCCAUAACUUGUAAUUCCUAACAAACAAGGCCACCAGUCAAGCUUGCCAGAGACUCUUGCAAUGCUCAUCACUAUCAAGGAUCAUUUGGACUCAUAUUUGAAGUUAGUGCAUUACAAUGGUAUGACUUUGGUGAACUACUAACAACCAGAUAAUAGUGUGGUGUAGCUAUCCCCAUAUAAAAUUCUGAUGGAAAGUUGACCUUCCUCUAGCUUCUUUUGGCCAAUUUUUCUGCUACAAAAUGAGUUAAAUCUUUUUCUUUGCAGCCUUUAUAAUACAGUCUUACCACCAGUAUAUUAAUUCUAUGUCUCUUGACAUUUCUGAUCUGUAAUGAAUCAUGAGAAAUUGUUGGCUAAGACCUUCUCUUUAACAAUCAGAGUAAAACAGGUUUAAGAGACACAUGACCCAAAUCCAUGUGCAUGAUUGAAUUGACACUAAAGACUUUUAAUUUAUUUUGCUAUGCAGUAUCUCUGUCACCUAGAAAUCUAGCUGGUGUUUCUGAACGAAGACUUUUCCUAUUGAAAAUUUAAAAAUAAAGUACAAAAUCCAUUGGAAUUUUCAUCAAAAUCCAAUCCAAACUGAGAAUAAAUCUUUGAUCUACUCCAAGUUAAAAGAUAAGAAAAGAAAUUGUUCUAAUGUUACCUGUUGGAACUAUGAUAUGAUUUCUCAUAUAAAAAGCAAUCUUUCUUAUCUAAUAAAUCAUAAUGAGUUUCCAACUGGGACUUUUUUCCUUCACUUCUCAUGACCCCCAAUAUAGCUCCAAUCUCAAUCUCAACAAGGUCUAUGAUUGAAGCUCCAAGAUACAUUGCAUUAUCAAUACACUCCUCCUCUUUAUGUCUACUGCUACCAUCUUAGUCUAAACUACUAUGUUCUUUACUCAGAACAUUGCAAUAAUCUCUAGUAUUUCUUCAUACAUGCUG
Long non-coding RNA from Heterocephalus glaber (naked mole-rat), 2148 nucleotides. The record is from Ensembl. Lineage: Eukaryota; Metazoa; Chordata; Mammalia; Rodentia; Bathyergidae.